RNAcentral lists this long non-coding RNA (1656 nucleotides) under Ricinus communis (castor bean). Its description in RNAcentral is "long non-coding RNA (RCOM_LNC002065)". The record is from RNAcentral. Lineage: Eukaryota; Viridiplantae; Streptophyta; Magnoliopsida; Malpighiales; Euphorbiaceae.
UCCUCCUCCCCUCCUUUCUUUCCCGACGUCACCUCCCUCUCCUCAUGCACUUUCCAUUUCUGGUUGCUCCCUUUGCCGCCCCUCCAUCCUUUGCCUGCCGUGAGUUACCCUAGACAUCACCAGCCUGUUGCUGUUGUCCACGCCGCCUUCAACCGUUGAGGAAGAGUUGUUUGAGAGAAGGAAGUUUCCUCCGCUGCUGUCACUGCCAAAUCACCUUGUUGUCGUCGUCCUUCGAUAAAUCCAACACCAGAACCUCACUCCUUACCGUUGAAAACCCCAAGGUCAACUCUUCCCUGCUAUUGUUCUCACCGGAAGCUAGAGGUGUAGUCUCACCAGAGCAGUGCUUUUCCAGCCACGAUUCGGUGUCCUCCGAAGAGAGUUGGUCAUGAUUUCAGUGUUUUUGGAUUCCCCGCAGCUCAAGCUUUGCGUAGGCGUCCCCAGAUUUGAAUUUCAACACCAUUGGUAGUACCAGCUUUCAGAUCCUAUUGUUUUCUAGACGGGCAGAGUUUAGAUUUUUGGGCUCGGUAAAUUUUAUUUGGACCUUAAAAUUUAUUUAAAAAAUUUAGAGAAUAUUAUUACCAUUAAUUUUUAAUUAUAAAUAAUUUAAUUUAAUUAGGUUUAAAUAAUUAUAAUUUAAUUAUAGAUAUUAUGAAUUAAUUAGUGUGAUUAAUUAUUAUUCAGUUUUAUGAUAAAUAUGGUUGUGAAUAAUUAAAUUAGAUGCCAUGAAUUAUUUGUGAACUGGCUAUAAAUAAAUGUUAAUGUUGAACUAUCUGUUAUUAAUUGAGAUCUGUACUGUGUUGCGGAGUCGGAAAAAUAAUGCAGUUAUGGGGACUCCUGAUAAUUAUGUGAUGAAUAUUUUAAGUGUUUUUAGUAGAUUUUGAACUCAUUUUACGAGGAUAAAAAUUCGUAUUUUAGGGGAGGUUUUGACGAAUUUUUGAUAGAAUUUUCAAGUCGGGAUCAGUUUAAAUUUCUUUAGGCAGAUUAAUAUAGGAGUUUAGGCCUAGAAAAAAUUAUAAAAUAUCUUAUUCAUUAAUUAUUUUCGUGAAUAGAUAAUCCGUCAGUCCAGCUAGCUCCAUCUGAGGCAUAUGAGUAGAUAGCAAAACUCGGCAGAACUGUGAAUUAAAGUCAUAUAUUCUACUGCAUAAGCCAUAUCUAGAUCUAAAUGCAAUUUUUAAAUGAGUAAUUAAUAUGGUUAUGUUGGUGGUAUUUGUGAUGUUAAAUUUAUUUUCUUUGCUAUUAUUAUUAUUAUUAUUGUUGUUGUUGGUGGUGGUGCUGGUGCUAUUCAACUAUUAUUAUUAUGAAUAUUACAUUAUUAAAUUAUACCAUUACAUCUUUUUGUGAGUUGAUUUUAGUACCAUGCUACAUAUUAUUAUUGAUGCUAAUAUAUAUUAUGGUUCGGGAUGAGGUAAUAGUAGAACGUGCCACCUGAUGGGUUGCAUCAGGUCUGUAUACGCACCGAUAGAAAUCAGAGCCACGUAAUAGAUGAAUAUUUGAUGAUGUGUCUUGGUCGAGCACAACUCUCUAGGCUUAUAGAAUCUUGAUUUGUUGGAGAAAGGUUCAUGGUCGAGCGUUGCUCUCUGGGCACCAUUUACCAUUUAUAUUGAUAUUUAAGUGAUCGGAUUCGACUUACUUAUUUUAUUUUUAUUUUUACAUAGA